CCUACGGGGAGCAGCAGUGGGGGAUAUUGCACAAUGGGGGAAACCCUGAUGCAGCGACGCCGCGUGGGCGAAGAAGUAUUUCGGUAUGUAAAGCCCUAUCAGCAGGGAAGAAGAAAUUACGGUACCUGAGUAAGAAGCACCGGCUAAAUACGUGCCAGCAGCCGCGGUAAUACGUAUGGUGCAAGCGUUAUCCGGAUUUACUUGGUGUAAAGGGAGCGCAGGCGGGACGGCAAGCCUGAUGUGAAAGCCCGCGGCCGAACCGCGGGACUGCAUGGGGAACUGCCUGGCUGGAGUGCCGGAGAGGUAGGCGGAAUUCCUAGUGGAGCGGUGAAAUGCGUAGAUAUUAGGAGGAAAACCAGUGGCGAAGGCGGCCUCCUGGACGGUGACUGACGCUGAGGCUCGAAAGCGUGGGUAGCAAACAGGAUUAGAUACCCUAGUAGUC
RNAcentral lists this ribosomal RNA (442 nucleotides) under uncultured bacterium. RNAcentral describes it as "partial 16S ribosomal RNA". It matches the Rfam family "Bacterial small subunit ribosomal RNA", at positions 338 to 795 of the family's 1533-position model. The record is from RNAcentral.